CAUUCUUCCAUAAUACUGGGAGUAAGUCUUGAGGGUAAGGAGUAGAAACCUAGCCUUCCUAUUCAAGAGAAACAAUGGUUGUCAAGGGAAUGUCAGCUGGGAAAAAUGAUGACAGAUGUGGCUUGUUUGGGAUUAGAAGAAUCACUGUCAUCUGGUUCUGUCUACUCCAAUUCCUUCUCUGUGAAUUUCUAGGUUCUUCUCCAAGAUUUGGGGAAGGGUUCUGGUUCCUUAUAAAAGUCCCAGGCUCUGUCUCUAGAACACUCAAUAGACAAAGAGAUCCUUAGGAACUUAAAUCAUUGAAGAAAACGUUUGUAGUCAAACCAAUUUGUUAUGGAAACCCACUACAAAGACUUUAAUCUGCAAAGCCCUCCCCAUGACAUGUAAAUUUCAUUUUAUAAAAGCUGUUACUUCAGAAGCCAAACACUUGAGAAAGAAACCCCCUAUGUUGGCCAUCAUGCGCUGGUCCUUCAGACACUCCAUCAUCAUGUUAGCAGGCUUGGGCCUCCUGUGGUUUUUCAUCAAUUUGGGAACCUCAAAGAUGAAUGAAAACAUCUAUCUGCUGGAAACAAAGUGGUCCUUCCACUAG
This 586-nucleotide long non-coding RNA is filed under the name Sarcophilus harrisii (Tasmanian devil). Its description in RNAcentral is "lncRNA (ENSSHAG00000020926.1)". Lineage: Eukaryota; Metazoa; Chordata; Mammalia; Dasyuromorphia; Dasyuridae. The record is from RNAcentral.